Molecule: ribosomal RNA, 1874 nt
Filed under: Phialocephala subalpina
Lineage: Eukaryota; Fungi; Ascomycota; Leotiomycetes; Helotiales; Mollisiaceae
Description: SSU rRNA
Rfam family: Bacterial small subunit ribosomal RNA
Source: RNAcentral
UUGAGUUUGAUGAUGGCUCUGAAUGAACGCUGUCCAAGUGCUUGACACAUGCUAAUCGUACGUCUAAUUUAAUUUAUAAUUUUUAUCUUUUUUGGGCUAUAUAAGUUAUAGCGCAAUAAAAGAGACAAAUACAAUUCAUUUUAUUAGAAGUGGUGUACAGGUGAGUAUAUAACAUUUUGGCUGCCUUAGAGUUAGGUUAAAUGCCUUAUACUUCGCAAGAUAAAGGAGAGAGGUCUCCGCUUUAAGAGGACAAUAAAUGUUUCGGAUAGGUAGUAGUUAAAGUAAUGGUUUAACUAGCCAAAAAUUCCGUAGUCGAGGCUGAGAGGUCGAUCGAUCACAUUGGGUCUGAAAAAACCCCAAUACGUAUAGUACAGCAGUGGGGAAUAUUGGUCAAUAGCCUAACGGCUGAACCAGCAACUUGGGGGAAUGUAUAGCUGCGUAAUUUCAGCUAGUUAUAUUUGGCUGUUUAAGAUAUCUUAAAGAAUUCUUCUGAUUAUUUAAGAUGUCUUAUUCAUUUUGAUUUUUUCCCGAGUGCUUUAAUCAAUUAAUUUAUCACUAAUCGCAAGAUUGUUAUAUGCGCUUUUUUUUACGUUUCUUUUGGCAUUACCAAAGCACCGAAAUUAAAGCGUUAUAACGAACAGUAUCUGUUCGGUGGACAAUAUAAUAUCGAUUUUAUCGAGUAAAGUUCUAGAUAUAAUACGGAUUAUGACUAUUUUAUAUCUAUAUGUCUUGACCAAAUUACGUGCCAGCAGUCGCGGUAAUACGUAGAAGACUAGUGUUAUUCAUCUUUAGUAGGUUUAAAGGGUACCUAGACGGUAUGAUUAGUCUUAAAUAGGAUACGGUUAUACUAGAGUUAUAUAUGAGAAGGGGAGUAUUUAUGGAGUAGAGUUGAAAUUCUUUGAUACCAUGAGGACUGAUAACGGCGAAAGCAACCUUUUAUCUAAUAACUGACGUUGAGGGACGAAGGCUCGGGUAACGAACAGGAUUAGAUACCCUAGUAGUCCAAGCAGAGAAUGAUGAAUGCCAUAGAUUAGAUCUUAAUUUAGUCUAUAAAUGAAAGUGUAAGCAUUUCACCUCAAGAGUAAUGUGGCAACGCAGGAACUGAAAUCAUUAGACCGUUUCUGAAACCAGUAGUGAAGUAUGUUAUUUAAUUCGUAGGUACGCGAAAAACCUUACCACAACUUGAAUAUUAUCUUUUUAGGCUUACGUCUCCAAAAAGCGAAGCAAUAAGAAUAUUAUUCUUGCUUUGCUUACUUCGCCUUAUUUUUAAAGAAGUAAGCAAACCAUGUAAUAUUAUUUUUAAAGAUAUUACAAGCGUUGCACGGCUGUCUUCAGUUAAUGUCGUGAGAUAUUGGUUAAUUCCAUUAAAUUAACGGAAACCCUUGCUUUAUUUGUGAUAUUUUACAGGUAAAUUCACCCAAGCGAAUUUAUCUAGUGAAAAUUGAAAUAAAGCAGUUCACCUUUACAUGGGAAAGAUAAUAGGGACCAAGACAAGUCAUCAUGGCCUAAAUGUUGUGGGCGAUAGACGUGCCACAUAUUCCUAUACAAAGUGAUGCAAUAAUGUGAAUUGGAGCUAAUCUAAUAAAAUAGGAUAUAACAAGGAUUGUAGUCUGAAAUUCGACUACAUGAAUAAGGAAUUACUAGUAAUCGUGAAUCACCACGUCACGGUGAAUUUAAUCUCAGAUAGGUACUAACUACUCGUCAGGCGCCGAAAGAAGUGUGUGCAAUAAGUUUGGUCUUUCUUAUAUUUUCAUUCUAGAUAACCACUUCUAGUUACUUAUAUGGAAGAUUUUCGUAUGCGUGACUUUGAUUGGUGUUAAGUCGAAAUACGGUUCAUGUAGGGGAACUUGCAUGGGAUUGAUUAAUGUUAACAA